Molecule: ribosomal RNA, 621 nt
Filed under: Naganishia albida
Lineage: Eukaryota; Fungi; Basidiomycota; Tremellomycetes; Filobasidiales; Filobasidiaceae
Description: partial large subunit ribosomal RNA
Rfam family: Eukaryotic large subunit ribosomal RNA
Source: RNAcentral
AAAUAGAGGAAAAGAAACUAACAAGGAUUCCCCUAGUAACGGCGAGUGAAGCGGGAAGAGCUCAAAUUUGAAAUCUGGUAGCCUUCGGUUGCCCGAGUUGUAAUCUAGAGAAGUGUUUUCCGUGCCGGCCCAUGUACAAGUCCCUUGGAACAGGGCGUCAUAGAGGGUGAGAAUCCCGUCCUUGACAUGGACCCCCGGUGCUUUGUGAUACACUUUCAACGAGUCGAGUUGUUUGGGAAUGCAGCUCAAAAUGGGUGGUGAAUUCCAUCUAAAGCUAAAUAUUGGCGAGAGACCGAUAGCGAACAAGUACCGUGAGGGAAAGAUGAAAAGCACUUUGGAAAGAGAGUUAAACAGUACGUGAAAUUGUUGAAAGGGAAACGAUUGAAGUCAGUCAUGCUCUUGGGACUUACCUCCCUUGAGUGGGGUCAACAUCAGUUUUGAUCGAUGGAUAAAGGCACGGGGAAGGUAGCACUCUCGGGUGAACUUAUAGCCUCGCGUCAUAUACAUUGAUUGGGACUGAGGAACGCAGCAUGCCUUUUGGCCGGGAUUCGUCCACGUACAUGCUUAGGAUGUUGACAUAAUGGCUUUAAACGACCCGUCUGAAAACGGGGGGAAAAAAAA